CACAGCAACCAUAUCAGCUCAUGCUGUUAUCUCAUCAGAUCUCAUAAAACAAAGCAGUGCCAGGACUUGUUAGUAUGUGGCAGAGAGACCUCCUAGAAAUACCUGCCUGCUGCAGGAU
This is a ribosomal RNA of Chelonoidis abingdonii (Abingdon island giant tortoise), 118 nucleotides long. The record is from Ensembl. NCBI's taxonomy places the organism in Eukaryota, Metazoa, Chordata, Testudines, Testudinidae.